Molecule: ribosomal RNA, 1545 nt
Filed under: Salmonella enterica subsp. enterica serovar Infantis
Lineage: Bacteria; Pseudomonadati; Pseudomonadota; Gammaproteobacteria; Enterobacterales; Enterobacteriaceae
Also listed under: 1 other name
Description: partial 23S ribosomal RNA
Rfam family: Bacterial large subunit ribosomal RNA
Source: RNAcentral
AGACCCGAAACCCGGUGAUCUAGCCAUGGGCAGGUUGAAGGUUGGGUAACACUAACUGGAGGACCGAACCGACUAAUGUUGAAAAAUUAGCGGAUGACCUGUGGCUGGGGGUGAAAGGCCAAUCAAACCGGGAGAUAGCUGGUUCUCCCCGAAAGCUAUUUAGGUAGCGCCUCGUGAAUUCAUCUCCGGGGGUAGAGCACUGUUUCGGCUAGGGGGCCAUCCCGGCUUACCAACCCGAUGCAAACUGCGAAUACCGGAGAAUGUUAUCACGGGAGACACACGGCGGGUGCUAACGUCCGUCGUGAAGAGGGAAACAACCCAGACCGCCAGCUAAGGUCCCAAAGUCAUGGUUAAGUGGGAAACGAUGUGGGAAGGCCCAGACAGCCAGGAUGUUGGCUUAGAAGCAGCCAUCAUUUAAAGAAAGCGUAAUAGCUCACUGGUCGAGUCGGCCUGCGCGGAAGAUGUAACGGGGCUAAACCAUGCACCGAAGCUGCGGCAGCGACACUCAGGUGUUGUUGGGUAGGGGAGCGUUCUGUAAGUCUGCGAAGGUGGCCUGUGAGGGUUGCUGGAGGUAUCAGAAGUGCGAAUGCUGACAUAAGUAACGAUAAAGCGGGUGAAAAGCCCGCUCGCCGGAAGACCAAGGGUUCCUGUCCAACGUUAAUCGGGGCAGGGUGAGUCGACCCCUAAGGCGAGGCCGAAAGGCGUAGUCGAUGGGAAACGGGUUAAUAUUCCCGUACUUGGUGUUACUGCGAAGGGGGGACGGAGAAGGCUAUGUUGGCCGGGCGACGGUUGUCCCGGUUUAAGCGUGUAGGUGUGUGUUCCAGGUAAAUCCGGUUCACUUUAACACUGAGGCGUGACGACGAGGCACUACGGUGCUGAAGCAACAAAUGCCCUGCUUCCAGGAAAAGCCUCUAAGCAUCAGGUAACAUCAAAUCGUACCCCAAACCGACACAGGUGGUCAGGUAGAGAAUACCAAGGCGCUUGAGAGAACUCGGGUGAAGGAACUAGGCAAAAUGGUGCCGUAACUUCGGGAGAAGGCACGCUGACACGUAGGUGAAGUGAUUUACUCACGGAGCUGAAGUCAGUCGAAGAUACCAGCUGGCUGCAACUGUUUAUUAAAAACACAGCACUGUGCAAACACGAAAGUGGACGUAUACGGUGUGACGCCUGCCCGGUGCCGGAAGGUUAAUUGAUGGGGUCAGCGCAAGCGAAGCUCCUGAUCGAAGCCCCGGUAAACGGCGGCCGUAACUAUAACGGUCCUAAGGUAGCGAAAUUCCUUGUCGGGUAAGUUCCGACCUGCACGAAUGGCGUAAUGAUGGCCAGGCUGUCUCCACCCGAGACUCAGUGAAAUUGAACUCGCUGUGAAGAUGCAGUGUACCCGCGGCAAGACGGAAAGACCCCGUGAACCUUUACUAUAGCUUGACACUGAACAUUGAGCCUUGAUGUGUAGGAUAGGUGGGAGGCUUUGAAGUGUGGACGCCAGUCUGCAUGGAGCCGACCUUGAAAUACCACCCUUUAAUGUUUGAUGUUCUAACGUGGACCCGU